CAGCCGUAAACUAUGCGCGUUAGGUGUGUCGGUAACCACGUGUUACUGAUGCGCCGAAGAGAAAUCGUGAAACGCACCACCUGGGAAGUACGGUCGCAAGGCUGAAACUUAAAGGAAUUGGCGGGGGAGCACCACAACAGGUGGAGCCUGCGGUUUAAUUGGAUUCAACGCCGGACAUCUCACCGGAUAAGACAGCUGAAUGAUUGUCAAUCUGAAGGUUUUACAUGACUAGCUGAGAGGUGGUGCAUGGCGUCAGUGACU
Molecule: ribosomal RNA, 261 nt
Filed under: uncultured archaeon
Lineage: Archaea
Description: partial 16S ribosomal RNA
Rfam family: Archaeal small subunit ribosomal RNA
Source: RNAcentral